CCUACGGGGUGCUGCAGUAGGGAAUCUUCCACAAUGGGCGAAAGCCUGAUGGAGCAACGCCGCGUGGGUGAAGAAGGUCUUCGGAUCGUAAAACCCUGUUGUUAGAGAAGAAAGUGCGUGAGAGUAACUGUUCACGUUUCGACGGUAUCUAACCAGAAAGCCACGGCUAACUACGUGCCAGCAGCCGCGGUAAUACGUAGGUGGCAAGCGUUAUCCGGAUUUAUUGGGCGUAAAGGGAACGCAGGCGGUCUUUUAAGUCUGAUGUGAAAGCCUUCGGCUUAACCGGAGUAGUGCAUUGGAAUCUGGGAGACGUGAGUGCAGAAGAGGAGAGUGGAACUCCAUGUGUAGCGGUGAAAUGCGUAGAUAUAUGGAAGAACACCAGUGGCGAAAGCGGCUCUCUGGUCUGUAACUGACGCUGAGGUUCGAAAGCGUGGGUAGCAAACAGGAUUAGAUACCCCAGUAGUC
RNAcentral lists this ribosomal RNA (465 nucleotides) under uncultured bacterium. RNAcentral describes it as "partial 16S ribosomal RNA". It matches the Rfam family "Bacterial small subunit ribosomal RNA", at positions 338 to 795 of the family's 1533-position model. The record is from RNAcentral.